Molecule: ribosomal RNA, 253 nt
Filed under: uncultured bacterium
Lineage: Bacteria
Description: partial 16S ribosomal RNA
Rfam family: Bacterial small subunit ribosomal RNA
Source: RNAcentral
UACGUAUGGAGCAAGCGUUAUCCGGAUUUACUGGGUGUAAAGGGAGCGCAGGCGGCUUUGCAAGUCUGAUGUGAAAGGCCGGGGCUCAACCCCGGGACUGCAUUGGAAACUGUAAAGCUAGAGUGCCGGAGAGGUAAGCGGAAUUCCUAGUGUAGCGGUGAAAUGCGUAGAUAUUAGGAGGAACACCAAUGGCGAAGGCGGCUUACUGGACGGCAACUGACGCUGAGGCUCGAAAGCGUGGGGAGCAAACAGG